Conger conger (European conger) is the source of this 961-nucleotide long non-coding RNA. RefSeq lists it as uncharacterized. The record is from RefSeq and is a predicted model, not a curated record. NCBI's taxonomy places the organism in Eukaryota, Metazoa, Chordata, Actinopteri, Anguilliformes, Congridae. The transcript has 2 exons.
UUCUUGGGUCUGAAUCGGAGGUGGAGACGAAAGCCAGCACACCCUGCCGACCCCUGGUCUAAGCACUGCAGACUGCAGAAAGAUGCACUGGGCCAGUGGUCCUCACUCCUGGUCCUGGAGAGCCGCAGGGUGUGCUGGGGUCCUCACUCCUGGUCCUGGAGAGCCGCAGGGUGUGCUGGGGUCCUCACUCCUGGUCCUGGAGAGCCGCAGGGUGUGCUGGGGUCCUCACUCCUGGUCCUGGAGAGCAGCAGGGUGUGCUGGGGUCCUCACUCCUGGUCCUGGAGAGCAGCAGGGUGUGUUCAAAUCAGCAACCAAUUCAGACCAAAGAAACCAGUCACAGACUGGGCUUCGGAGGACAGGAUCCCAUCUGUUUCACUCGUGUAUACGUCAUAUCCUGGAAGCUGGCGCUGGGACUUCUGCUGCAGCUUGUCUUUAAUGCCGUCUUACCGCUGAACACUCCUGAUCAUAGUAAUGUAUGACAUGGGCAAGGCUUCAAGCUGUGAGCCAGGAUCAAACCUGUGCUUUUACCAAAAUGUAAUGAAUGUAAUAAUAUUAUGUUACAUAUGUGCAAACUAUAAAGAUAAUACAUACAUCUGAUCAUGGCUAUACUUUGUGUAUUUGCCCAUAUUUCGUGCAGUGUAAUAGAUUGAUAAUAUAUUGUAUUGUACUUGGUUGAGACUUGUGAAGUAAAUCCAGGUCCUUUACUGGUGUUCUCCCCUCUGCGUGGUGUUACAUUAGAAAAAGACUCUGGCGGUAACACAGAUUAAUCUUUUCACAGUCUGUGUCUGGUGUUAAUUCAUCAAGUGUGAACAGGGGGUAUCGAUUCCCAGAAUGUGAAGCCUACUGUUAUUUAACAGUGACAUUUCAGAAACUAGUCCACUGUCAUUGUCCUGUCACCAACUGUACAUGACUGUUUCCAGCUACUUCUACAAUAAUAAAAAUUCAACUGUAUUAAUUUUCA